Molecule: ribosomal RNA, 944 nt
Filed under: uncultured bacterium
Lineage: Bacteria
Description: bacterial SSU rRNA
Rfam family: Bacterial small subunit ribosomal RNA
Source: RNAcentral
GCCACACUGGGACUGAGACACGGCCCAGACUCCUACGGGAGGCAGCAGUGGGGAAUAUUGCACAAUGGGCGAAAGCCUGAUGCAGCGACGCCGCGUGAGGGAUGACGGCCUUCGGGUUGUAAACCUCUUUCAGUAGGGAAGAAGCGAAAGUGACGGUACCUGCAGAAGAAGCGCCGGCUAACUACGUGCCAGCAGCCGCGGUAAUACGUAGGGCGCAAGCGUUAUCCGGAAUUAUUGGGCGUAAAGAGCUCGUAGGCGGUUUGUCGCGUCUGCCGUGAAAGUCCGGGGCUCAACUCCGGAUCUGCGGUGGGUACGGGCAGACUAGAGUGAUGUAGGGGAGACUGGAAUUCCUGGUGUAGCGGUGAAAUGCGCAGAUAUCAGGAGGAACACCGAUGGCGAAGGCAGGUCUCUGGGCAUUAACUGACGCUGAGGAGCGAAAGCAUGGGGAGCGAACAGGAUUAGAUACCCUGGUAGUCCAUGCCGUAAACGUUGGGCACUAGGUGUGGGGGACAUUCCACGUUUUCCGCGCCGUAGCUAACGCAUUAAGUGCCCCGCCUGGGGAGUACGGCCGCAAGGCUAAAACUCAAAGGAAUUGACGGGGGCCCGCACAAGCGGCGGAGCAUGCGGAUUAAUUCGAUGCAACGCGAAGAACCUUACCAAGGCUUGACAUGAACCGGAAACACCUGGAAACAGGUGCCCCGCUUGCGGUCGGUUUACAGGUGGUGCAUGGUUGUCGUCAGCUCGUGUCGUGAGAUGUUGGGUUAAGUCCCGCAACGAGCGCAACCCUCGUUCUAUGUUGCCAGCGCGUUAUGGCGGGGACUCAUAGGAGACUGCCGGGGUCAACUCGGAGGAAGGUGGGGACGACGUCAAAUCAUCAUGCCCCUUAUGUCUUGGGCUUCACGCAUGCUACAAUGGCCGGUACAAAGGGUUGCGAUACUGUGAGG